GAUGAAGAACGCAGCGAAAUGCGAUACGUAAUGUGAAUUGCAGAAUUCAGUGAAUCAUCGAAUCUUUGAACGCAUAUUGCGCUCUCUGGUAUUCCGGAGAGCAUGCUUGUUUGAGUAUCAGUAAACACCUCAACUUCCAUAUCUUUUUUGAAAUGGGAGUUGGACUUGAGUGAUCCCAACGCUUUUCCUCACCGAAAAGUGGCGGGUUACUUGAAAUGCAGGUGCAGCUGGACUUUUCUCUGAGCUAUAAGCAUAUCUAUUUAGUCUGCCUAAAAAACAGAUUAUUACCUUUGCUGCAGCUAACAUAAAGGAGAUUAGUUCUUGUGCUGACUGAUGCAGGAUUCACAAAGACGGCUUCGGCCGACUUUGUAAACUCGAUCUCAAAUCAAGUAAGCCUACCCGCUGAACUUAAGCAUAUCAAUAAGCGGAGGA
RNAcentral lists this unclassified non-coding RNA (432 nucleotides) under soil metagenome. RNAcentral describes it as "partial contains 5.8S ribosomal RNA, internal transcribed spacer 2, and large subunit ribosomal RNA". The stretch from base 1 to 120 matches the Rfam family "5.8S ribosomal RNA", at positions 35 to 154 of the family's 154-position model. The record is from RNAcentral.